GCUAUACAUGCAGUCGAGCGAACAGAGAAGGAGCUUGCUCCUUCGACGUUAGCGGCGGACGGGUGAGUAACACGUGGGCAACCUACCUUAUAGUUUGGGAUAACUCCGGGAAACCGGGGCUAAUACCGAAUAAUCUAUUUUACUUCAUGGUGAAAUACUGAAAGACGGUUUCGGCUGUCGCUAUAAGAUGGGCCCGCGGCGCAUUAGCUAGUUGGUGAGGUAACGGCUCACCAAGGCGACGAUGCGUAGCCGACCUGAGAGGGUGAUCGGCCACACUGGGACUGAGACACGGCCCAGACUCCUACGGGAGGCAGCAGUAGGGAAUCUUCCACAAUGGGCGAAAGCCUGAUGGAGCAACGCCGCGUGAGUGAAGAAGGUUUUCGGAUCGUAAAACUCUGUUGUAAGGGAAGAACAAGUACAGUAGUAACUGGCUGUACCUUGACGGUACCUUAUUAGAAAGCCACGGCUAACUACGUGCCAGCAGCCGCGGUAAUACGUAGGUGGCAAGCGUUGUCCGGAAUUAUUGGGCGUAAAGCGCGCGCAGGCGGUCCUUUAAGUCUGAUGUGAAAGCCCACGGCUCAACCGUGGAGGGUCAUUGGAAACUGGGGGACUUGAGUGCAGAAGAGGAAAGUGGAAUUCCAAGUGUAGC
This 649-nucleotide ribosomal RNA is filed under the name Lysinibacillus xylanilyticus. Its description in RNAcentral is "bacterial SSU rRNA". It matches the Rfam family "Bacterial small subunit ribosomal RNA", at positions 48 to 679 of the family's 1533-position model. The record is from RNAcentral. Lineage: Bacteria; Bacillati; Bacillota; Bacilli; Caryophanales; Bacillaceae.